UACAGAGGUCCCAAGCGUUGUUCGGAUUCACUGGGCGUAAAGGGUGCGUAGGUGGCCAGGUAAGUUCGGUGUGAAAGCUCGGAGCUCAACUCCGAAAAGGCAUUGAAUACUAUCUGGCUGGAGGGUCGGAGGGGAGACUGGAAUUCUCGGUGUAGCAGUGAAAUGCGUAGAUAUCGAGAGGAACACCAGUGGCGAAGGCGAGUCCCUGGACAACACCUGACACUGAGGCACGAAAGCUAGGGGAGCAAACAGG
RNAcentral lists this ribosomal RNA (253 nucleotides) under uncultured bacterium. RNAcentral's name for it is "partial 16S ribosomal RNA". It matches the Rfam family "Bacterial small subunit ribosomal RNA", at positions 524 to 776 of the family's 1533-position model. The record is from RNAcentral.